AUGCCUGUCCGUGAUAUCAUUCU
This 23-nucleotide non-coding RNA is filed under the name Arabidopsis thaliana (thale cress). The record is from RNAcentral. Lineage: Eukaryota; Viridiplantae; Streptophyta; Magnoliopsida; Brassicales; Brassicaceae.